CCUGAAGAGAUUUGGGAGUGCUCGAAAGAGAACCUGCACACAGGUGCUGCAUGGCUGUCGUCAGCUCGUGUCGUGAGAUGUUGGGUUAAGUCCCGCAACGAGCGCAACCCUUGCCAUUAGUUGCUACGAAAGGGGCACUCUAAUGGGGACUGCCGGUGGACAAAACCGGAGGAAGGUGGGGAUGACGUCAAGUCCUCAUGGCCCUUAUAGGUGGGGCUACACACGUCAUACAAUGGCCGGUACAGAGGGUAGCCAACCCGCGAGGGGGAGCCAAUCCCACAAAGCCAGUCGUAGUCCGGAUCGUAGUCUGCAACUCGACUACGUGAAGUCGGAAUCGCUAGUAAUCGUGGAUCAGAAUGUCACGGUGAAUACGUUCCCGGGUCUU
RNAcentral lists this ribosomal RNA (385 nucleotides) under uncultured Allobrachymonas sp. RNAcentral describes it as "bacterial SSU rRNA". It matches the Rfam family "Bacterial small subunit ribosomal RNA", at positions 997 to 1382 of the family's 1533-position model. The record is from RNAcentral. Lineage: Bacteria; Pseudomonadati; Pseudomonadota; Betaproteobacteria; Burkholderiales; Comamonadaceae.